Molecule: long non-coding RNA, 405 nt
Organism: Homo sapiens (human)
Lineage: Eukaryota; Metazoa; Chordata; Mammalia; Primates; Hominidae
Gene: SP2-AS1
Product: SP2 antisense RNA 1
Source: Ensembl
GAGACAAGGAAAUGCUGUCACCGCGGUUAACACGCACGUGGAGGUUGGUUAAAGGGAAGACCUGGGUUUUAGUCCUGUCUCCAUCAACCUCAAGAAAUGGGACCUCAUGGAAGGGAGGGGAGGCAAUGCCGAGGAUGUGCUCCUGAGCAGGUGCCACAAUUCUUCACCUGUAAGGCCUCUCCAGAGGCCCAAACUUUAAUAGAAUCUGAGAGAAAAAAGUGGCCAGUCUAUCUGCUGUCCAGAGUGAUGCCAAACUCUUUCUCCCGGAGCCAGUUCUCCCCGUUGGGCAGUCAGGAAACAAUAAGUGAACAAGAAGUAACCUCAGAAGAAGAAAGAACUUUGGGAGAAUGCACUGAGAAAGGCCAGACUGAGUCCCCUUGGAUGAAGUUAAUUAAGAAACAAACA